CGGGGCGUAGCGCAGCCUGGUUAGCGCGCCUGCUUUGGGAGCAGGAGGCCGAGGGUUCGAAUCCCUCCGCCCCGA
This 75-nucleotide transfer RNA is filed under the name Chloroflexota bacterium. Its description in RNAcentral is "Chloroflexi bacterium tRNA-Pro". It matches the Rfam family "tRNA". From Rfam's summary of the family: Transfer RNA (tRNA) molecules are approximately 80 nucleotides in length. Their secondary structure includes four short double-helical elements and three loops (D, anti-codon, and T loops). Further hydrogen bonds mediate the characteristic L-shaped molecular structure. tRNAs have two regions of fundamental functional importance: the anti-codon, which is responsible for specific mRNA codon recognition, and the 3' end, to which the tRNAs corresponding amino acid is attached (by aminoacyl-tRNA synthetases). tRNAs cope with the degeneracy of the genetic code in two manners: having more than one tRNA (with a specific anti-codon) for a particular amino acid; and 'wobble' base-pairing, i.e. permitting non-standard base-pairing at the 3rd anti-codon position. The record is from RNAcentral. Lineage: Bacteria; Bacillati; Chloroflexota. RNAcentral also lists the same sequence under 2 other names.